UAGGGAAAUCUUCNUGCAAUAGGACGGAAGUCUGACCGAGCAACGCCGCGUGAGUGAAGAAGGUUUUCGGAUCGUAAAGCUCUGUUGUAAGAGAAGAACGAGUGUGAGAGUGGAAAGUUCACACUGUGACGGUAUCUUACCAGAAAGGGACGGCUAACUACGUGCCAGCAGCCGCGGUAAUACGUAGGUCCCGAGCGUUGUCCGGAUUUAUUGGGCGUAAAGCGAGCGCAGGCGGUUAGAUAAGUCUGAAGUUAAAGGCUGUGGCUUAACCAUAGUACGCUUUGGAAACUGUUUAACUUGAGUGCAAGAGGGGAGAGUGGAAUUCCAUGUGUAGCGGUGAAAUGCGUAGAUAUAUGGAGGAACACCGGUGGCGAAAGCGGCUCUCUGGCUUGUAACUGACGCUGAGGCUCGAAAGCGUGGGGAGCAAACAGGAUUAGAUACCCUGGUAGUCCACGCCGUAAACGAUGAGUGCUAGGUGUUAGACCCUUUCCGGGGUUUAGUGCCGCAGCUAACGCAUUAAGCACUCCGCCUGGGGAGUACGACCGCAAGGUUG
RNAcentral lists this ribosomal RNA (553 nucleotides) under uncultured bacterium. Its description in RNAcentral is "bacterial SSU rRNA". It matches the Rfam family "Bacterial small subunit ribosomal RNA", at positions 354 to 896 of the family's 1533-position model. The record is from RNAcentral.